This 253-nucleotide ribosomal RNA is filed under the name uncultured prokaryote. RNAcentral's name for it is "partial 16S ribosomal RNA". It matches the Rfam family "Bacterial small subunit ribosomal RNA", at positions 524 to 776 of the family's 1533-position model. The record is from RNAcentral.
GACGAACCGUGCGAACGUUGUUCGGAUUCACUGGGCUUAAAGGGCGCGUAGGCGGGCGACCAAGUCGGGGGUGAAAUCUUUCGGCCCAACCGGAAAAGGGCCUCCGAUACUGGCCGCCUCGAGGGGGGUAGGGGCGCGUGGAACUUCCGGUGGAGCGGUGAAAUGCGUAGAUAUCGGAAGGAACGCCGGUGGCGAAAGCGACGCGCUGGACCCCUGCUGACGCUGAGGCGCGAAAGCCAGGGGAGCAAACGGG